This 216-nucleotide ribosomal RNA is filed under the name Glomeromycotina sp. Its description in RNAcentral is "partial small subunit ribosomal RNA". The stretch from base 40 to 216 matches the Rfam family "Eukaryotic small subunit ribosomal RNA", at positions 686 to 864 of the family's 1831-position model. The record is from RNAcentral. Lineage: Eukaryota; Fungi; Glomeromycota.
GGGUCAGUAGGUUGGUCGUGCCACCGGUACGUACUGGUCUCACUGAUUCCUCCUUCCUGAAGAACCGUAAUGCCAUUAAUUUGGUGUUGCGGGGAAACAGGACUGUUACUUUGGAAAAAUUGGAGUGUUUAAAGCAAGCUAACGCUUGAAUACAUUAGCAUGGAAUAAUGAAAUAGGACGAUCGAUCCUAUUUUGUUGGUUUCUAGGAUUGACGUA